Long non-coding RNA from Ostrinia furnacalis (Asian corn borer), 2519 nucleotides. RefSeq lists it as uncharacterized. Lineage: Eukaryota; Metazoa; Arthropoda; Insecta; Lepidoptera; Crambidae. The record is from RefSeq and is a predicted model, not a curated record. The transcript is spliced from 2 exons.
UCGAGCUCGUGGCGCUGCGCGAGCCCGACGCCGGCCUGCCGCGCGUGCGCGCCGCCUUCCACGCGCACGUGUGGCCCGGCCUCGUGCGCACGCCCCGCCAGCCCGCCGAUUCUCGCGAGCCCGACCUCCCUUCGGCGGCGGAGUCGGAGUCGGCGGAGUCGGACGACGAGUGGUCGGAGUGGUGCGCGGGCCCGGGCGCGGAGGACGCGUUCGCGGCGGCGUUGGCGGCGCUGCCGGGCGCGGCGGCGGCGGCGCGCGCGCUGCCCGCCGACCGUGCCGAGCGCCUGGCGCGCGCCGAGAACUUGGUCGCGGCCUUCUGUCGCGCCCUCGGCACUCCGUUGGACUGACGUUAGUUAUGUCAUUUUAUACAACUCUCUUAUUCCGUGAGUCGAUUGUGAUUCUUAUAUUGAUAUUGAUUGACUACCGCAGGUGUUUAUUACGUGCCCAGAUAUUUGAUUAACCACUUGUAGUGAGUGAAUUCUCUGUAUAUUAGCUUAAUAUACAAACAGUGGAGUGGGCUUAAUAUACAAACGGUUUUGCCUAUAAAGCUUAAAUAAAUAUUUUUUAAUCUCUUAAGUUCUUAAUGUUUUAAUACCGGUAUCGUUACAUUACAGCCAAUGAGCUGCUGUCACAGUGACAUUUACAUAAGUAAUGUCUCAAUAUCACCCUAGAAACGUCAGAAUCACCGAUUUAUAGAGAAUGGUCAUAAUAGAGCUCCGUGCGCUUUUAUAGUGAUUAUUUGUAUUGUAAAUGAGGCAAUAUGUAUAUGUAUGUACAAGUUAAAUAUCCAGUGUUUUAUUUAUGAGAAUAGAUCUACUGGCCUUCUAACAGUACCUAAUUAAAUAUCACACACAUAGACAGCAAUUAAUCGUGCAACAAAUAAAACACAAAAACUAAAAUCAUCGUUUUAUUGUGUUAGAUUACAUGUAUAAGAGGCAUGUCGGCACUGAAUGUUCCAAACAUCAGUAGUUUGCUUUGGAGCAUUCACUAACAUAAUACCACAGAACUGCCUGUUGAUAAAGACAAACUCAGCGUUAUAUCAACAAACUUAAGAUUCGGGUAACUUCGACCUUUUAUAUUUUAAACUAAAUUCUAAAGCUUUUGCUAAAGAGAAGUUAUCCUACGUGUAAGCUCGAAAUUUCAGCGUGGUUUUGAGAGCGCGUAUGAUGAAGCAUUUGUGCUAAGCACUUACAACCAUACAAACCUAUUCAUGGAUCACAUGAUCACAUCGCUUUGCCCUCAGACAUGGUGGUUAGUUCGGGUUCCCGAUACCGAAUUAAUGGAUGUUAUCAAGAUUAAAUUAUUUUAAUUCGACUUGAUAUUCGAUUCCCUAUAAUGGAUGUUAGGCUUCAUGUAAACAUGAGAUGGAUCCACAUGCACAGCACUCAUAUAAAUGUGAUAUGUACCUUUAAAUUUGUUUAUUUAUUACGAUCAUGAUUUAAGAAAAAUAUGUGCAAUGGAGCCGAGAUUCCUUUAAUUGACACGGUCUUAAAGUUCUCCAUAAAAGCGUUUAGGCAAUUAUGUAGGUAAGUAUGAUAUGUGAAGUUUAUUUACAGAAUUGAUAUCAAAUAAAGGCACUAAUAAUUGUGUAGAUUUAGUUAACACUUGUUAAAUCUUGAUAAAUUUGACAUCCAAAGGCCUAAAAUAUUACUUUGAAAGUAUUAUUAUUAUUUCCAAAUACAAUCCAGGCGAUGUCUUUGUUAGCUUAUUUUAAAGGUUAGGUUACAGAAUCCAUUCUGUUAAAAUACGUAAAAAAAACUUACAAAAUAUGUAACCAUACAUACUUAUUAAAAUACUUGUGGGUCCCGACUCCCGAAUCAAUCGAGGAUUUCGUUUUUUUUUUUUCAAAUCAUGUUAAUCCUUCAAGAUAUUCACUUGUUUGUAUCUAAUAAUAUCCACAUUCCACACAUUUCAUCGGCGAAACAUUCAAGGACACAAAAAAUGUUAAUACAUAAAUUCAUUUUAAAAUUAUAUAAAUAUAAUAUAAACUCAACAAUUUACAUAAAAUUUGUCAUUUUAAAAAACAUUUAACAAACAACAGCAGUACCUACCUCUAAAGCCCUGUCUCUGAGCACGUAAAAUUUUGUCCAAUGACCCUAAGGAUGGGUAUCUUGGGGUCAUUGGCAAAAUUCUACGUGCUCGGCAACCAGACUAUAGCAUGAACAACUUUCGUCUUCGAAUCGUUUGCGUAUUCAACAAAAUUCGAUACACAACCUUCUAAUUAAAAGAUAACGUGACAAUUUUGAUGCUCAAUAUAAGUUCCGUGCCACCAUUUUUCAUACUAAGUUCACUUUACGACACGUUCACAAGGGCGCUGUUGUAGUUUUUGAACUAAAUCUUUUGAUGGCAAUUCGAAUACGCAAACGAUUCGAACUCGAAAGUUUUUCGUGCUAGCCGUACAGUUUAUAAUAACUACUCCAUAAUGUUCUCGAGCGGCGCUGUGUAAUAGUCUCCAUGCACCAAAAGUAUUGAAAUUCACCUAUUUUCUUACAAAUAAAGGCAAAAAUUUCAAUUCCUGU